RNAcentral lists this ribosomal RNA (253 nucleotides) under uncultured prokaryote. RNAcentral describes it as "partial 16S ribosomal RNA". It matches the Rfam family "Bacterial small subunit ribosomal RNA", at positions 525 to 777 of the family's 1533-position model. The record is from RNAcentral.
ACGGAGGGGGCCAGCGUUGCUCGGAAUCACUGGGCGUAAAGGGCUCGUAGGCGGUCUGAUAAGUCCUGUGUGAAAUCCCUUGGCUUAACCAAGGAAUUGCGCCGGAUACUGUCGGACUAGAGGCCGGGAGAGGGAAGCGGAAUUCCGAGUGUAGCGGUGAAAUGCGUAGAUAUUCGGAGGAACACCGGUGGCGAAGGCGGCUUCCUGGACCGGUUCUGACGCUGAGGAGCGAAAGCUAGGGUAGCAAACGGGA